Myotis lucifugus (little brown bat) is the source of this 76-nucleotide non-coding RNA. The record is from Rfam. NCBI's taxonomy places the organism in Eukaryota, Metazoa, Chordata, Mammalia, Chiroptera, Vespertilionidae.
GGCAGUUCUCAAGUGAUGCACCCCUAAAUCCGGCUCCCUCCUCUCUAGUUCCGGGGUGCGGCACCCAAGAACCGCU